GCCCAGCGCCGAAUCCCCCGUCCUUCACGGGCGUCGGGACAUGUGGCGUAUAGAAGUCCGUAUCUCUCGGCGCGGGCCGGGGGGCCUGAGUCCUUCUGAUAGAGGCUCAGCCCAGGGACGGUGUGAGGCCGGUAACGGCCCCCGCCGCGCCGAGGUCGCGGUUCUUCUCGGAGUCGGGUUGCUUGGGAAUGCAGCCUAAAGCGGGUGGUAAACUCCAUCUAAGGCUAAAUACUGGCACGAGACCGAUAGCGAACAAGUACCGUAAGGGAAAGUUGAAAAGAACUUUGAAGAGAGAGUUCAACAGGGCGUGAAACCGUUAAGAGGUAAACGGGUGGGGUCCGCACAGUCCGCCCGGGGGAUUCAACCCGGCGGCGGUGUCGUCCCGGUCCGCCCGGCGAGCUCCUCCCGCGAGGGAGGCCGCCGGCGGGCUCGGGCCAACGGCCGCCGUCGGGCGCAUUUCCUCCGCGGCGGUGCGCCGCGACCGGCCUCGGUUCGGCUUGGAAGGGUCAGGGGGCGAAGGUGGCUCGCGAGCUCCGGCCCGCGAGCUUUACAGCGCCCUCCCGCCCCGACUUCGCCGCUUACCCCCGGGGCCGCGGUGAGUACCUCCGCGCCUUCCUUCCCCCGCGGGGGAGGGACGGGGCCCCUCCGUCCCCUGCGCGUGCCGUCGACCGGGCCGGACUGUCCUCAGUCCGCGUCCAACCGCGUCGCGCAGCCAGGGCGGGGACCGGCCUCCGCACAAAAGGGCGCUCGGGGUCAGCGGCGAUGCCGGCUACCCACCCGACCCGUCUUGAAACACGGACCAAGGAGUCUAACGCGUGCGCGAGUCAAAGGGCUGAAACGAAACCCCACGGCGCAAUGAAGGUGAAGGCCGGCGCGCGCCGGCCGAGGUGGGAUCCCCCCCCUACGGGUCGCGGGGGCGCACCACCGGCCCGUCUCUCCCGCUCCGUCGGGGAGGUGGAGCUAGAGCGUACGCGAUGGUACCCGAAAGAUGGUGAACUAUGCCUGGGCAGGGCGAAGCCAGGGGAAACUCUGGUGGAGGCCCGCAGCGGUCCUGACGUGCAAAUCGGU
This 1068-nucleotide ribosomal RNA is filed under the name Astyanax sp. RS-2007. RNAcentral describes it as "LSU rRNA". It matches the Rfam family "Eukaryotic large subunit ribosomal RNA", at positions 107 to 902 of the family's 3401-position model. The record is from RNAcentral. Lineage: Eukaryota; Metazoa; Chordata; Actinopteri; Characiformes; Acestrorhamphidae.